This 378-nucleotide ribosomal RNA is filed under the name uncultured methanogenic archaeon. RNAcentral's name for it is "bacterial SSU rRNA". It matches the Rfam family "Archaeal small subunit ribosomal RNA", at positions 38 to 429 of the family's 1478-position model. The record is from RNAcentral. Lineage: Archaea; Methanobacteriati; Methanobacteriota.
AUCAGACUACGCAUGCGAGUCAGGUGUCUUCGAGACGCCGGCAACGGCUCAGUAACGUAGGUUUCUACCCUCAGGACUGAGAUACCCGGGACCUGGGGCUAAUACCAGAUAGAUAAAAGAUACUGGAAUGUUCUUUUAUCCAAAGCUUUUGUGCCUGAGGAUGAGCCUGCGCCCGAUUAGGUAGUUGGUGGGGUAAUGGCCCACCAAGCCUGCGAUCGGUACGGGCAGUGGGAGCUGUAGCCCGGAGUUGGGGACUGAGACAAGGCCCCAGGCCCUACGGGGCGCAGCAGGCGCGAAACCUCUGCAAUGCGGAAACCGUGACAGGGGGAUCCCAAGUGCUCAUGCAUGCAUGGGCUGUCUUGGCUAGUACGGAGGAGU